Molecule: ribosomal RNA, 468 nt
Filed under: uncultured bacterium
Lineage: Bacteria
Description: partial 16S ribosomal RNA
Rfam family: Bacterial small subunit ribosomal RNA
Source: RNAcentral
GACGAACGCUGGCGGCGUGCUUAACACAUGCAGGUCGAACGGAAAGGCCCUGCUUUUGUGGGGUGCUCGAGUGGCGAACGGGUGAGUAACACGUGAGUAACCUGCCCUUGACCUUGGGAUAACUUCAGGAAACUGGGGCUAAUACCGGAUAGGAGCUCCUGCUGCAUGGUGGGGGUUGGAAAGUUUCGGCGGUUGGGGAUGGACUCGCGGCUUAUCAGCUUGUUGGUGGGGUAGUGGCUUACCAAGGCUUUGACGGGUAGCCGGCCUGAGAGGGUGACCGGCCACAUUGGGACUGAGAUACGGCCCAGACUCCUACGGGAGGCAGCAGUGGGGAAUAUUGCACAAUGGGCGGAAGCCUGAUGCAGCAACGCCGCGUGCGGGAUGACGGCCUUCGGGUUGUAAACCGCUUUCGCCUGUGACGAAGCGUGAGUGACGGUAAUGGGUAAAGAAGCACCGGCUAACUACGUG